CGUGGCAGCGAGCGUUGUUCGGAGUUACUGGGCGUAAAGAGUGCGUAGGCGGUUUCUAAGUUUGGUGUGAAAUCUCCCGGCUUAACUGGGAGGGUGCGCCGAAGACUGGAAGGCUCAGAGUGUGGGAGAGGUAAGCGGAAUUCCUGGUGUAGCGGUGAAAUGCGUAGAUAUCAGGAGGAACACCUGCGGUGUAGACGGCUUACUGGACCAUAACUGACGCUGAGGCACGAAAGCGUGGGUAGCAAACAGGAUUAGAUACCCUGGUAGUCCACGCCCUAAACGAUGCAUACUUGGUGUGGGUAGUUCAUUCUAUCCGUGCCGGAGCUAACGCGUUAAGUAUGCCGCCUGGGGAGUACGGUCGCAAGGCUG
Molecule: ribosomal RNA, 369 nt
Filed under: uncultured organism
Description: bacterial SSU rRNA
Rfam family: Bacterial small subunit ribosomal RNA
Source: RNAcentral